GGGUCUGUAGCUCAGUUGGUUAGAGCGCACCCCUGAUAAGGGAUAAGGGUGAGGUCGGUGGUUCAAAUCCACCCAGACCCA
Molecule: transfer RNA, 81 nt
Filed under: hydrothermal vent metagenome
Description: tRNA-Ile-GAT
Rfam family: tRNA
About the family: Transfer RNA (tRNA) molecules are approximately 80 nucleotides in length. Their secondary structure includes four short double-helical elements and three loops (D, anti-codon, and T loops). Further hydrogen bonds mediate the characteristic L-shaped molecular structure. tRNAs have two regions of fundamental functional importance: the anti-codon, which is responsible for specific mRNA codon recognition, and the 3' end, to which the tRNAs corresponding amino acid is attached (by aminoacyl-tRNA synthetases). tRNAs cope with the degeneracy of the genetic code in two manners: having more than one tRNA (with a specific anti-codon) for a particular amino acid; and 'wobble' base-pairing, i.e. permitting non-standard base-pairing at the 3rd anti-codon position.
Source: RNAcentral